GCAUGAAGCAAAAACAAAGUUUUUUCUUUUGCAUUUCAUCAUGUGCCAACACAUUUGGCCCAGUGGAAACACCUUGCUACUCUACUCGGUAACGAGUAGUCUAAGAGGGAAGAAGGAUCUGUCAUAAUGUCUUCAGCCUUUGACCACGCAUACACUCCUCGUUCUUGUCUGCUUCCAGGGACAGUGUUGUCUAAAACGAAUGCUACUAAUAGUGUGACCACCAUGUUUAAGGACAGAAGUGCAUUCAUUGCAAAAUUGAAUUGUGAAUUUCCGGUAUGUACUGGUCCAUUGGAUGCUGCUGCAUAAGGAAUUAGAUAGCCA
Molecule: unclassified non-coding RNA, 321 nt
Filed under: Hevea brasiliensis (rubber tree)
Lineage: Eukaryota; Viridiplantae; Streptophyta; Magnoliopsida; Malpighiales; Euphorbiaceae
Source: RNAcentral